RNAcentral lists this ribosomal RNA (235 nucleotides) under uncultured bacterium. RNAcentral's name for it is "partial 16S ribosomal RNA". It matches the Rfam family "Bacterial small subunit ribosomal RNA", at positions 118 to 351 of the family's 1533-position model. The record is from RNAcentral.
UGAGUAACCUGCCCUUAACUCUGGGAUAAGCCUGGGAAACUGGGUCUAAUACCGGAUAUGACUCCUCAUCGCAUGGUGGGGGGUGGAAAGCUUUAUUGUGGUUUUGGAUGGACUCGCGGCCUAUCAGCUAGUUGGUUGGGGUAAUGGCCCACCAAGGCGACGACGGGUAGCCGGCCUGAGAGGGUGACCGGCCACACUGGGACUGAGACACGGCCCAGACUCCUACGGGAGGCAG